Molecule: long non-coding RNA, 349 nt
Filed under: Struthio camelus australis
Lineage: Eukaryota; Metazoa; Chordata; Aves; Struthioniformes; Struthionidae
Description: lncRNA (ENSSCUG00000004232.1)
Source: RNAcentral
UCUGCUCCCACACACAUAGAUAUGAGCCAGGAAUAGCUCCACUAACACUUAGAUUUGAAUCCAGUCCCAAGCACAGCUGCCCGAUGCCUUUUUAUGAUAAAAAUCUCUGAGACGUUGUCAUGCAGGUGGACUGGUACCACGGUUCAGAACAAAAGGGCAAACUGGGGCUGGCUAAACUUACAGCAGGAGAAGUGGAUAUGACCAACAGUGUUCUGCUAAGGAGAGACCUCUCAAGACAAUGAGCUUUCCGAAGGUGCGCCAGCCCUGUUUGGUCUGGAUCAGCUGGGUAAGUCCAUGUGGAAUACAUUUUCCUCUUUUUUUCUUUUUUCUCUGCACCCAAUAGAGUAAU